Molecule: transfer RNA, 74 nt
Filed under: Candidatus Westeberhardia cardiocondylae
Lineage: Bacteria; Pseudomonadati; Pseudomonadota; Gammaproteobacteria; Enterobacterales; Enterobacteriaceae
Description: transfer RNA lysylated Isoleucine
Rfam family: tRNA
About the family: Transfer RNA (tRNA) molecules are approximately 80 nucleotides in length. Their secondary structure includes four short double-helical elements and three loops (D, anti-codon, and T loops).
Source: RNAcentral
GGCCCUUUAGCUCAGAUGGUGAGAGCAGACGACUCAUAAUCGUUUGGUCGUUGGUUCAAAUCCAACAAGGGCCA